Molecule: ribosomal RNA, 464 nt
Filed under: Vreelandella stevensii
Lineage: Bacteria; Pseudomonadati; Pseudomonadota; Gammaproteobacteria; Oceanospirillales; Halomonadaceae
Description: partial 16S ribosomal RNA
Rfam family: Bacterial small subunit ribosomal RNA
Source: RNAcentral
CCUACGGGUGGCAGCAGUGGGGAAUAUUGGACAAUGGGGGGAACCCUGAUCCAGCCAUGCCGCGUGUGUGAAGAAGGCCCUCGGGUUGUAAAGCACUUUCAGUGAGGAAGAACGCCUGGUGGUUAAUACCCAUCAGGAAAGACAUCACUCACAGAAGAAGCACCGGCUAACUCCGUGCCAGCAGCCCGGUAAUACGGAGGGUGCGAGCGUUAAUCGGAAUUACUGGGCGUAAAGCGCGCGUAGGUGGCUUGAUAAGCCGGUUGUGAAAGCCCCGGGCUCAACCUGGGAACGGCAUCCGGAACUGUCAAGCUAGAGUGCAGGAGAGGAAGGUAGAAUUCCCGGUGUAGCGGUGAAAUGCGUAGAGAUCGGGAGGAAUACCAGUGGCGAAGGCGGCCUUCUGGACUGACACUGACACUGAGGUGCGAAAGCGUGGGUAGCAAACAGGAUUAGAUACCCCUGUAGUC